ACCUUGACGGUACCUAACCAGAAAGCCACGGCUAACUACGUGCCAGCAGCCGCGGUAAUACGUAGGUGGCAAGCGUUGUCCGGAAUUAUUGGGCGUAAAGCGCGCGCAGGUGGUUCCUUAAGUCUGAUGUGAAAGCCCACGGCUCAACCGUGGAGGGUCAUUGGAAACUGGGGAACUUGAGUGCAGAAGAGGAAAGUGGAAUUCCAAGUGUAGCGGUGAAAUGCGUAGAGAUUUGGAGGAACACCAGUGGCGAAGGCGACUUUCUGGUCUGUAACUGACACUGAGGCGCGAAAGCGUGGGGAGCAAACAGGAUUAGAUACCCUGGUAGUCCACGCCGUAAACGAUGAGUGCUAAGUGUUAGAGGGUUUCCGCCCUU
RNAcentral lists this ribosomal RNA (376 nucleotides) under Peribacillus muralis. RNAcentral describes it as "bacterial SSU rRNA". It matches the Rfam family "Bacterial small subunit ribosomal RNA", at positions 466 to 840 of the family's 1533-position model. Lineage: Bacteria; Bacillati; Bacillota; Bacilli; Caryophanales; Bacillaceae. The record is from RNAcentral.